AUAAUUUUGUCUUUUUUAAUUUCAUAAUUUUUUAUAUGUAGAAUGUCCAUUUUGCCCGGGCCCUUAGAAUUAUUUACAGCAAAUAAAUAAACUCAAGAAGAAAAUUAAAAACCAAAAUAAAAAAAAAACCAAUAAAUAAAGUCCAAUUUGUAACAGUCCAGUAAGUCCAUUAAAUACAAAGCCGAUUGGCUUAAUAUUUUUACAGACCCGAAUACAAAGGCCCAAAUGCAAAACAAUAUAUAUAUAACCCCAACCUAAUGGCCCAAUGGCCCAAUCCUAAAACGAGACCAAAUGGCCUAAAUUUUGGUUUCAGAAACUGAAACCCUAGGACCAGCGCCGUAGCUUCGUCAACAAGGGUCCCCAGCUCAUCAUUGCCACGUCCGCAGUCCUCUCCGUAUGGUGGUUUACCUGCAAAAAGAAAUAGAAUAACAGCAAAGAUGGGAGCAAAAAUGUACAGCAAAUGACAGAGAUUAACAAAUAGCAGUGAAUAAAAGAAAAUAUAAAAAUUAUUUUGUAAUUUCAUUUUUUCGGCUAUAUAAAGCCGAUUGUAAAUAGUGUACAGGGAUCUUUUUCACAUAUUUUACGUAUACAUACAAAUACAAAAAAGAAAAUAUACUCAGAAAGAAAAGGUGAUUCUCGAUUGAUUUUAGUUUUCAAGCUUUUUUUAUUAUUUUUAUUUAUUUUAAUGUAUGAAAAGAAGAAAAGAAAGGAAUACUUACCUCUAUGUUUAGCCUUCGUCGAUUGGGCUUUUCGUUGGAAACAAGGACCUUUGGAGCGUAAUCGGCCACCGGAUAUGGUGGUGGUUCGGCGACGGCGUGAUUUUUGGGUCAAAACCCUAGCAGAAAAAUGGGGGCAUUCUUUUUUUUUUUUAAAAAAGGGUCAAGAAACCAAAUGCAGUUUUGUAAAAAAAUUUAGAUUUAUGUAACUUAUGAAACGGCACCGUUUUUGUGCCAUAGUUCUGGAGGCCAAAUGGCGCCGUUUAGGCGCCAAACCUAUGCGAUCCGACCCACUGCCCCCAGGAUUGGCGUGUUUCUACGGUGAAGGGAUAUUGCGUGAUUAGUCCCUCCUUUUCGCGUUGUCAUUUGAUUGAGUCCUUUUUCUAUUUCUUUUGUAUUUUCUUAUUUUUUUCCCUGGAAUUUGCGCGCCAUUUCAACUUAGUCCGCGC
RNAcentral lists this long non-coding RNA (1165 nucleotides) under Gossypium barbadense (sea-island cotton). RNAcentral describes it as "long non-coding RNA (GBAR_LNC009290)". Lineage: Eukaryota; Viridiplantae; Streptophyta; Magnoliopsida; Malvales; Malvaceae. The record is from RNAcentral.